UUAUAUAUUUUUUUCUUUCAGAAAAUCAAUACAGAAUUAUCGCAAAAGAAAAAUCGUCCCGUAUCUCCAAAAUCAGAGAAUUUGUUUGUAAUAAUAUUGAUUAUUUGAACAUUUAAUUAAUUACUCACAAAAUGUCGGAAAAGAAUGACGGUAACAAUAGCGAUGACAGUGUUGAAAUUAUUCCCAAUAAAGAUGAUGAUAUUUGUGAAUUAGAACAUUUACGAAAACUAUUCAUUGGUGGUUUAGCUCCCUAUACCGACGAAGAUAGUCUACGUAAUUUCUAUAGCCAAUGGGGCAAAGUGGUCGAUGUGGUUGUAAUGAAAGAUCAAAACACCAAAAGAUCAAGAGGAUUUGGUUUUAUAACAUACACCAAAGCUUACAUGGUGGAUAAGGCUCAAGAUAAUCGUCCACAUAUUAUUGAUGGCAAAGCUGUUGAAGCUAAACGUGCUUUACCUCGUCCAGAACGUGAGGCUCAAGAGAAUAAAAGUGCCUCGGUUAAAAAAUUAUUUGUGGGCGGCUUAAAAGAUAAUCAUGAUGAAGCCUGUCUGGAGGAGUACUUUUCAGAGUUUGGAAAAGUUGUAUCGGUUAAAAUUCUUACGGAUAAAACUACGGGCAAACGUCGUGGCUUUGCAUUUAUCGAAUACGAUGAUUAUGAUGCCGUUGAUAAAGCUAUAUUGAAAAAAACUCAUUCCAUUAAAUAUGUGGUGGUGGAUGUAAAGAAAUCGAUUUAUAGCAAAGAGUUACAAAUGAAAAAGAAUCAACAGCAUAGUGGCGGCGGUAGUAAUUCUAUGGGACAACCGGGCAAUAAAAUGCCACCUAAAGACAAUCUUAGAAAUAAUAUGCCUCCACAACAGCCGCCACAUCCACCUCCAUACCACGAAGGACCACCACCAAACUACAAUCAAUGGGGCCCACCAGCACCAGCUAUGCCCCCACCAAAUUAUGGUGGAUAUCCACAACCUCCACAGCAUCAACCACCUCCCAAUUGGAAUUAUCCACCAGCACCUAAUACGUGGAAUGCACCACCACAACCCCCUGGUGUGCCCCAGCCACCACCGCCGGCCUGGAAUAACAAUCAGUGGGGUUGUCCACCACCAACAGGACCCCCAGGUCCACCUGUACCUAUGCCACCACCAAAUCAAAUGCCUCCUCCAGGUACUCAACCACCACCAAACUGGCAACAACCACCUGUAGUACCACCUGUGGUUGGACCACCCCCACCACAUCAUCCCCAACAACCGCCAGUUCACCCUCAAGUACCGCCACCUACUUUUGGUACCGGUUAUCAGCAGAGUUAUAAUGGCGGUCCCACUAAACAUCAGAGUGCUAUGAAUUCAAACCGCAUGAAUCCUUACAGUGCCCCGCCAAAUCCAAAUAAUUCAUAUAAUAAUGUGCCACCUGCACCUGGCUAUGGUGGCUAUAAUGCUGGACCACCAAAUGUCAAACCGCCUGUCAAUAACAAUAGCGGCCCUGGACCAGUACCCAAUCCAAUGACUAAUGGUGGAGGUCCAUCAUCUAGUGGAAAAUAUCGACGCUAAAAUUUCAUGGAUAGUUAUCAAUAAUUUCAAAAGUAAAAGUUUGGAUAUUCUAAUUUAAAAUAAAAGAUCGAAAUUCAUCACACCUUUUCAAAACAGUCGAUUUCAAAUCGCUCAAAUUCCAGCAUAUACCGGAUUACUAAAAAAUGUUACGAAAUGUUUUUCAUAAGCAUGGAUUAUUUUCAUCAAUGAUCAGAAAUCUAAAAUGAAUCUAUUAUAUUAUAUAACUUACUGAAAUAGCAAUUCUAGAUAUGUCCCCAUACAUACCUUUUCUACUUCAGUUGUAUGUAAGAAAAAUUAAGUUUAAAUUUGUUACAUUUUUGAAACAAAUAGUGCCUUGAAAACUUUAUAGAAAUAUUUUAGAAACCAAACAAUGUACCGAGGGAUGGUUUCCAGAAGUUCCAGUUCCAAGAUUGUUGUUCAAGAAUUUGUUGUUGGCUGUAACAGGUUGACUGUAACUGGAUGUUCUUCCCUGGUGAAAAAACGUCCGGUUGGUACAGCUGUUGCUGAAUUGACAAUCUUUAACGGAUUAAAAAUCGGGUCGUUCCGGAGCAGAUAUCCAAUUGUGGUGGGAACGGUUCGAGAAUCUAAAAGUG
RNAcentral lists this unclassified non-coding RNA (2131 nucleotides) under Lucilia cuprina (Australian sheep blowfly). RNAcentral describes it as "ribonucleoprotein RB97D, transcript variant X8". The record is from RNAcentral. Lineage: Eukaryota; Metazoa; Arthropoda; Insecta; Diptera; Calliphoridae.